GAUGAACGCUGGCGGCGUGCCUAAUACAUGCAAGUCGAGCGAACGGACGAGAAGCUUGCUUCUCUGAUGUUAGCGGCGGACGGGUGAGUAACACGUGGAUAACCUACCUAUAAGACUGGGAUAACUUCGGGAAACCGGAGCUAAUACCGGAUAAUAUUUUGAACCGCAUGGUUCAAAAGUAAAAGACGGUCUUGCUGUCACUUAUAGAUGGAUCCGCGCUGCAUUAGCUAGUUGGUAAGGUAACGGCUUACCAAGGCAACGAUGCAUAGCCGACCUGAGAGGGUGAUCGGCCACACUGGAACUGAGACACGGUCCAGACUCCUACGGGAGGCAGCAGUAGGGAAUCUUCCGCAAUGGACGAAAGCCUGACGGAGCAACGCCGCGUGAGUGAUGAAGGUCUUCGGAUCGUAAAACUCUGUUAUUAGGGAAGAACAUAUGUGUAAGUAACUGUGCACAUCUUGACGGUACCUAAUCAGAAAGCCACGGCUAACUACGUG
RNAcentral lists this ribosomal RNA (497 nucleotides) under uncultured bacterium. RNAcentral describes it as "partial 16S ribosomal RNA". It matches the Rfam family "Bacterial small subunit ribosomal RNA", at positions 28 to 507 of the family's 1533-position model. The record is from RNAcentral.